CCAUGCUAAUUUAUUUUUAGACAAAAUUCAGAUUCUGUCCCUCAGGAAACACUUGACAAUACCUAGAGAUAGUUUGGUUGUCAAAAGUUGCGGUGGUGUUUGUGCCACUGGCAUCAAAUGGGUAGAAACCAUGGGUGUGGCUGAACAUCCUGUAAUGCAUGGGACAGCCCCCACAACAAAGAAUUAUUCAGCCCCAAAUCUUAACAGUGUUGAAGUUGGAAAACUCCACUGUAGGCAAUUAAAAAAAAAACCUUACUAGGAGCAAAUUGAGUUUAAAGGGAAGAAGAAGAAAAUACAAAAUAUUCCUACAAACUGAUCCCAUCUGACAUCCAGAAGGAAGAAACAGCUAGACAACCUGCUGGAACACAGGUGUUUGCCUGCCACCCAGGAGGUAUUUCAAUAACUGGGUUGUUCAGCAGAGCAGUCUGGAACAGGAAGUACAUCUCUACUCUUCCGUACUCAUUUUUUUAAGCAAAUGAAUGUAUUACUUUUGCGAUAACCAUUUUAGUACAAAUAUUGGCAUAUUAUGGAGUAGAAUACUGAGUAGUAAGCAUUGGCACCGACAAAGCUGAGAAGCCCCAGUGGAAGUGCCAUGUAUUUCUGGUGAACAGUGUGCACUUGCACCUGUGUCAGUGUCUUCUCCCAUCACCCAGACGCCUCUGCUGUCAUCACAAGCCCAAAUAUGCUAAUGUAAGACACAAGAGCUAAAACAGGUGACUCUUAUUACUAGGGGAGGAGCUGGGGAGCGAUUGGUUGCUCUGCUUCUCUAUUUUAAAAUUCAAUAGAGUCUUCCAUUUUGAGUAUUGGGAGAAAAAUCUUUGUCAGGAGGGUUUUUGGGUGCUGAUUUGAAAGUGUCUUUAGUAUAUUUCUCAUCAUUGUAUAUUGCAGGAGAACUGUCAUCCAUCUGCAGUGCUUCCCAAGUAACUGUCUGGGGCUUAUGGUGAUGUAUCCCCACUGCUGAGAUGGAAGGGAGUCCUCAGAUACCUGGCAGAUCAACUGUGCUAGUUAUAGCUGUCAUGUACUGAGCAUACUCUCCCAUCCUCCUCUUUCUCCUUUGGGAACCUGCUCCUCUACUUCAUGUGAUCUUGGUGGGGCUGUCCAUGAAGGUGACUUGUGCCUCCUCCUGCCCUUGCACAUGGGCAGUGACCUGCAGUGGGCCAGCUGUAGUAUUACAUUCCUCCAUUUACAGUGGCUGGUUUAGGGAAGGGCAAUUUAUAACUAGUAGCAGACUGUUUUUAGUUUCUUUCUUUAUAGUAGAUACUUUUUCUCCUAUAAAGAAGGGAAGAAUAUCAAAUUUUCCCAAAUAUCUAUAGGGAAUUUAGUAAUGCACCAUGCAGCAAGGAAGGAGGGCUCAUGUUAAAGUGUAAAUGGGCCUUCUGAGUACACAGAAAUCAACCAGUGUUACUUUCAGAAUGUGGCUCUUGCUAAGCCCUGGAUAUGAGAUCACAAAAGGCUCAGGUGAGCUGAUUCCCAUUAGACCAGGUAGGAGCUGAUUAUUGUGUGGUGCAAUGAUAUGGGUAUCUUGGGUAAGGCCUUGUGAGAGUCUCAGGGCCAAGGCCUUGGUUGCAGCCUUGCAAGAGACCCUGAAGCUGGUAAUGAACGCCCAGCUAAGCCAUGCCUGGCUUCAUGACCCCACAGACUGUGAAAUAAUAAAUGUGUGUUGUUGGGAGUAAUUUCUUAUUCAGCAAUAGAUAACUUAUAUACACCCUGAUCUCUUUGUUCCUUACCAAGGUCCCUUACUCAUCAGAACCAAAUUCCAUGCUAUUUCCAGACCACACUGUGUGCUUUCUUGCUUUCAUAAUUUGUUCAAGGACGGGAGCUGGUGCCAUGUCCUACCCUGACUCAGGGAGUGAUUCAGACUGAGAGUUGGCUAAAUCUAGAAGGAUUUUUGGAUUGCAUUAUAACCUUUUAGGUAUUCAUCUUAUCCUUUAGCUAAGAAUAGAUCUGGACCAUGAACAAGCCCUUCUGAAAUCAUCCUCCUCCACUAGAGUUCUGAGCUUUCUUUCCAUGUCCAAUCUAGACAGUAGGGAUCACUGCACGUUGAACUUUCCUCGUUCUUUCUUCUGCCCAGUUUGGCAUUUAUUUCUUAAUAAUCCGUUUUUAAAAAUGUAUGUGGCCUCCCUAAUCAGCAAAACAAAGGCUUACUGUCCUUUUAUGCAUGCUAGAAAGUACUAAUGAGUUCUUGGGGGUUUAUCACUGACUCUGGAACAGAAGUAGAAGCCAGUAUAUCUGGAGUCAGUAAAAACAGGUUUUGCCAAGGUACUUCAGCUGCAAGGGAACCUUUAAAUAUUCCACACAUCCAGCGCUGCAUCUGUCCUGGGGAAUUUGAGGAUGAGCUGAUGCCCUGCAUAGGAUGCCUGGUGCACACUCUUCUAUUCCAUGUCCUGGAACCUUGCGGGUGGGCCCUGCGCAGUCCUUUUAGAUGUGUCACCUCGGGUGGUCUGCCAUCUGAGGGUCUUCUCUCUGCCUAGGGAUAAUAAAUAAAAGGAGAUCACACUUUCUUUCUUAGACUCAUUUCUCCAUGAACCCCAUCACAGGUUCACAAAAAUGGUUGGGAGAGUCUACAGAAAAUCUCCCUUGUAGUGAAUUGCUGGAGGAGAGGAAAAGAAACUGCUGUGAGAGGGGUGAGAAAUUCUACCUGGACCCUUCUUGCCUACCUCCCCUAUGAACAAAAGCCUUAAUUAGUGUGACAUGUAUGUAGAAGGGAGCAAACAUUAUCACUCUUUGGAUACUGGUGAAAUCCCAUUACAUCUGAGAUAAGGGAACAGGGAAAAAA
Molecule: long non-coding RNA, 2776 nt
Filed under: Homo sapiens (human)
Lineage: Eukaryota; Metazoa; Chordata; Mammalia; Primates; Hominidae
Description: non-protein coding lnc-GUCA2A-1:1
Source: RNAcentral